CCAGGACGGUCUCGAUCUCCUGACCUCAUGAUCCGCCUGCCUCAGCCUCCUAAAGUGCUGGGAUUACAGGCGUGAGCCACUGCGCCCGGCCAGAUCUAGAAACUUCUAACUUGAAUCCCACACCCCCAAGUGCAAAUGAGACCCAUGACCAUCACAAAGACCCCCCAGCGUCGUGGUCAAGGCUACCAGGAACUGGCAGCAGCGCUCUGCCCACGUCCACAGGAAGUGGCCGACGUCUCCUCUGCCUUUGGUUUAGUGGCCCCACACUUCAUCACCUCACUUUGUCCAUGAAUUUCACACGUUUUCUUACAAGAGCUCUGUAAUGCGCCAGGCACGGUGGCUCACACCUGUUAUCCUAGCACUUUGGGAGGCCGAGGCAGGAGAAUCACUUGAGGUCAGGAGUUCAAGGCCAGCCUGACCAACAUGGUGCAACCCCAUCUCUGCAAAAAUACAAAAAUUAGCCGGUCAUGAUGGCAGGUGCCUGUAAUCCCAGCUACUCAGGAGGCUGAUGUGGG
This 515-nucleotide long non-coding RNA is filed under the name Homo sapiens (human). RNAcentral describes it as "HSALNT0118225". Lineage: Eukaryota; Metazoa; Chordata; Mammalia; Primates; Hominidae. The record is from RNAcentral.